GCAAAACAGAACAAUUUCCAAUACUGAUGACUUCGGAUCACAACCUGACACAGAAGAAGAGGAUAUUUGGGGGGAAAAAAAUAAGAGAGACAAACAAAGAGUGUGGUUUUCUGACCAGGCUGAAAAUAAUGCAGGAGGUGCUGCUGGAAUAGUGAUGUUUACAUACGAAUGCAAAUUGCUUCUGGAAGAACCCAGGAGUGAUCUCUGGGCUGUGUCCAUGGCAAAUUCCUGAAGUGGGAGUCUGUUAUUGUGGCUGCUGAGUUGCAUUUACUCCAAGAGCUUGGGCACCAGACAAACCUUGUCCCAUCUCCAAGCACCCCACCCCCUGCCAAGUUCCAAGACUCUGGAACACACAGCAGCCAAAGAAGUGUAAGAAAAAUCAGGCCUUUUGCAUUUUACAAAAAAAGCAUUAACUCCCACUGAGCUCUAGAAGGCCACUGGCCACCUCCUGCUUCGUUUUGAACUCCAGUAGAUGUUGCUGGUGACACCUGAUCUUGAACUCAAUGGCUUGUAAUUCUCCUCUCCUGAUGCCCAGGAUCUAUUCAUCUGCCCCCACACACCCAAAAUUCAACACAAACAGGUCUGCAGCCCUGAGACUUCAAAUCAGAGCGGCCAUGAAAAGUAAACGUUUGGGAUCAAUCCAGGCUACGAGGCAGCCACAUCAGAGCAGCGGAAGACACUCGUGAAAGAGCAUUUCCAGGACUAAGAGCCCUUCACAGGGUAGUGUAGAGAAUUAAAUA
Molecule: long non-coding RNA, 740 nt
Organism: Cavia porcellus (domestic guinea pig)
Lineage: Eukaryota; Metazoa; Chordata; Mammalia; Rodentia; Caviidae
Exons: 4
Source: RefSeq, a predicted model, not a curated record